GACGAACGCUGGCGGCGUGCUUAACACAUGCCAGUCGAACGGAAAGGCCCUGCUUGCAGGGUACUCGAGUGGCGAACGGGUGAGUAACACGUGGGUUAUCUGCCCUGCACUUCGGGAUAAGCCUGGGAAACUGGGUCUAAUACCGGAUAGGAGCCAUUUUUAGUGUGAUGGUUGGAAAGUUUUUUCGGUGUAGGAUGAGCUCGCGGCCUAUCAGCUUGUUGGUGGGGUAAUGGCCUACCAAGGCGGCGACGGGUAGCCGGCCUGAGAGGGUGGACAGCCACAUUGGGACUGAGAUACGGCCCAGACUCCUACGGGAGGCAGCAGUGGGGAAUAUUGCACAAUGGGCGCAGGCCUGAUGCAGCGACGCCGCGUGGGGGAUGACGGCCUUCGGGUUGUAAACUCCUUUCGCUAGGGACGAAGCUUUUUGUGACGGUACCUAGAUAAGAAGCACCGGCUAACUACGUG
RNAcentral lists this ribosomal RNA (465 nucleotides) under uncultured bacterium. RNAcentral's name for it is "partial 16S ribosomal RNA". It matches the Rfam family "Bacterial small subunit ribosomal RNA", at positions 28 to 507 of the family's 1533-position model. The record is from RNAcentral.